UGUUUGGUGGUGUAUAUCGCCAACGUCGCUCCAGCCGCCCCCAAGGCAAAAGUUACCAGAAACAACCCCAACCAUCUCUUUCUACAAGUACUUGCCGAUUCAACUAUAUUAAUUCAUCUUCCCUUCAGCCAACCCCUGCUGUAACUGCCCGUCUUGGGGGCGGCUGAAAAUUUGCGACAAGUAAGUUUAAAGUACGUUUAGCAGUCAGUCGGUUACAGGUUAGCUAACAGUUCACAAAACUUUGGCGACCUGCUUAAGAAAAAGUGAAUUGAGAGGAGUGUUCGUGCUAAAGUUGGUGGUAGUCUAUGUGUGGAUCUGGUGUGCGUUCGGCGAAAAGGGUGUUGGUAAGAGUUGAAGUUGCAUUGAGACUCGACUUCAAAGUGAGCUAGUUUUGUGUAAGAAUCGAAAACUCCAGAAGACGGCUACGAUUAUAUACGAGGUCGUAACUCAAAGAAAACCGUGCACUGCCGUGUGUGCAAACGGCACUGGCAAGCGGCAUUAAAUAAUGUGUUUAUAUAGUUUUAAAGCCGGAUUAAGUCAGUUAUAACACCUGGUGUCUUAUGUUGGCGUCUACAACAACAACAAAAAUAAUACUAAAAAGUAUUGACGAAUUGCGAAGAAAAUAUUAACUCAGUAGCAAAAACAGUAAUUUCAUUCAAGUCGUGCUGUUAGAUAAUAGGUAUGCGUAUUUUAAUGAGCAUUUAAGUUCUUCAGUUGUCGAUUUUUUCAAGUACGAAGAAAAGUCUGGAUAAGCAGCAUCGGUGACCGAAGUCAGCAAAUCUCCCGAAACGGUGGAUAAAAAGAAAAUCAAAAGGCGAAGUCGGUAAGGAGAGAUUACUUCUAAAAGUGGAACAAAAAAAAAAUUGCAGAUUAUCAGCACCGCGCUAAGGUUCUUGAUUAUUCGAAAAGAAGUUAUUGUAGAUGAAGUUACCGAAGUGAAGGAAGAAAGUUGGAUAAAAGCUCAUUUAAUAGAAGUGCUGUCUAUCUGCACAUGACCACAUGCGAUAUUUUGUCUGGUCAGAGCAUCCCAGUGGUGACAACAGAAAAGUUACGAAAACAAACAUUUCUGAAGAAUGAGUGCUCGGAAAAAGGAAGAGCGAAGGAAAAGGUCUAGAGAUUAGGAAGUUUGAAAAUUUUUGCGAAACACAGCCACGAAAAUUUGCAGGACCUAUAUGAAACAGCUCUCGGAUACGCGUAGCAACCGCUAAGGUCAUUGGUGGAUUUGUAAUAGAUAGCACACUCACAAAAGGAACAAAUGUAUUGCGGAGUCACACUGCAGUAAAAUCUCCCACAAAAUCAACAUAAAUGGAUACCGAUAACCUCCAUUGUUCAAAAAAUGACCACGCAAAUGGAUUCCGGAAGUGUUGGUGCUUUUAGGUCUCUGCCGCCUUCAGUGGUAGCGGGUGAAGUGGCGCGGGAAGUGGUAAGUUACGAAUCUCGACCGCGAAGCUGUAUCAAAUAUGUCAUCACGACUGUGUCCGCUUUCCAACAAUAAACACCGACAAUGUAUCAACCUUCCCGUACAACAACGUCAGCAACAAGUAGCGGCUUCGCAAUCGACAACAGCCAUUUCGUCUCAAUCAGCAAUUGCCAUUCAUCGUCCAGCAAACAUGUGAAGUACGAUGCCGGCAGCCAUAAAUCUCCCAAAAGACGCUAGGGAAUAAAACCCGCUGGUUACCAAUACCCAGAAAAGUGUUAGGCAUUUGAUAAACAUAUUGGAAUCGAAGUUCAUCCCUUAAAUUGGACAGCACACCCAUGUUUCUGAAUGUAUUCUCAUCAAGGGCGCACCCACUUAGGGCAAUGAUAAUACCAACAUAAAGGCAUGAUGGCCUAUUUGGCGGAAAACUCGAUGUACAAACGCUGUAUAUACAAAUAGAUGGACAUCCAAGUAUAAGCUCGGACUGUGUGAUUCGGAGCAAUGCAAGCAAGCAUGACAAAGAGGCCUUGGAGAGCAGAUGAAGACGUUAUUGGCAAAUAAUAACAAGCCAGAUAAAUCACUGAACAAAACCAUAGACAUAGGGAUAGGCAAUAGGUUCAAGACAAUGUACCAGCAGUUACAAAUGGGACGAAGCGACUAUGACUAUACCAUGCGUCGACGAUUCAAGAUCAGCUUAAUAGUAUUAAGGUCAAAUUAGUUUUUAAGGUAGGGGUUGAAAUCUAUCAACUUACGUUGAUCCGCCCUGGAAAAUGUUGGCAUUGACACAGAAGCCCAGUAAUAGAAUGGUGAUCGUCUGCACGAAGACACCGGUUUGAACUAAGGAUAUGCAUUAUCCUAUUACUUUGAUGCGAUUAAAUCGGGGCAGAAAAAACGAUUCAGUGGCCACUUAAUUUUGUCAAAUCAUCGCUGUGAUCCGCGGGCUGCUUUUUUUCUCGCUAUUAGCAUUACGAUAACUUACAUGCUGACAAAUCAUAGUUAUAACAUAUAUACAUACACACACAAUAUCUAAUAAUAAUAAUAAUAAUAAUCAGAGCAGCAUCAGUAGUAAGUAUAAUAACAGAUCUUCACUUAGUUAUAUACGACAAUUUAUACACGAUUACGAUUGUUUUAAGGGUAACCGUGAUGUGGGCAGACCUAUGGCGCAAAUGAAAUGAUUUCCAGUUGCACACACGCUCACAAAGAGCUAGAUACUAUAUAAUAGAUAAUAUAUAAUAGAUAUAACGGAUAACAUUUCCUAUAGAUAUUUGCACAGUCGGUCUUGAGUAACAUCUGCUACAUCGACCAAAAAUAUUACCCAAUAGAAAAAAUCCCUGCUAUUUCGUCUUUCUAUCUAAAAAUAGCACUACAUAUGCUACUGCGUCAAUGAACUUCUUUGCUGUGUGCAUAUGUCCAAUACUGCGGAGCAACUUCCCGCACUACUAUCUUCAUCAACGAGGACAGCCGGUAAUAUCGCUUAGAUACGAAAAAUCAAUGGAGAAAAAAUAAUCCUGAUUAGAAGACAGGAGUAAUUACCGUUUUCG
Varroa destructor (honeybee mite) is the source of this 2958-nucleotide long non-coding RNA. RefSeq lists it as uncharacterized. The record is from RefSeq and is a predicted model, not a curated record. NCBI's taxonomy places the organism in Eukaryota, Metazoa, Arthropoda, Arachnida, Mesostigmata, Varroidae.